AAAAUGUCCUUCACCCUGGAUGAAAGUCCGGGUGGACCAGCCACUUGGGCUCUAAACAUACGUAAUGCCAGUCCGGUCCUCUUGUGGGAUCGUUCGGGUACUCGUUACUUUAAACCAUUGUGAAUCUCCCGUUGCUUUGGCGGCAUGCUUCCUGCUGUCAGCCCGUCUGAAGCUCACUAAAACCAAUUCUGUAAACUUCUGUCAGUAUACGAAAAGUAAAUCGUUA
RNAcentral lists this unclassified non-coding RNA (226 nucleotides) under uncultured fungus. RNAcentral's name for it is "sequence contains ITS1, 5.8S rRNA gene". The record is from RNAcentral. Lineage: Eukaryota; Fungi.